UACAGAGGGUGCAAGCGUUAAUCGGAAUUACUGGGCGUAAAGCGUGCGCAGUCGGUUAUUUAAGUCGGAUGUGAAAUCCCCGGGCUCAACCUGGGAAUUGCAUUCGAUACUGGAUAGCUAGAGUUCGGCAGAGGGAAGUGGAAUUUCAGGUGUAGCGGUGAAAUGCGUAGAUAUCUGAAGGAACAUCAGUGGCGAAAGCGACUUCCUGGACCAGAACUGACGAUCAGGCACGAAAGCGUGGGGAGCAAACAGG
This 253-nucleotide ribosomal RNA is filed under the name uncultured bacterium. RNAcentral describes it as "partial 16S ribosomal RNA". It matches the Rfam family "Bacterial small subunit ribosomal RNA", at positions 524 to 776 of the family's 1533-position model. The record is from RNAcentral.